CUCCCUCCAGGUUACCUCCAGCUCACAGUGUGGCUGGGGCUUUUGGGCCUCCAGUUUUCUUCCUGUCGAGCGGGUUCAGGAAGAGCAGGCUCUGCGUCACUGGGGCCCCAGCUGGUGAUGGGGGCCUGGACACGUGUCUAGUGCACUGCUGCCCUCCAGGGAUGAAGCUAGUCUCAGGACAUUGCCCGGGCUCCUGUCACGGCGGCUCUGUGGUUGGUCCACGCCUGCUCUGGCCGGCCACAGCUCUGGGCCUUUUUCACUGGCCUUCUUUGAGCUCUCCCUGGACUUUGGAGCAUCAUGAGAUUUUUCCAUGCUUCUGGCUCUGUCGCUCACAAGCUCAACAGUGACUUGGGGUCAGGGUGGUAAAGCAAAUAGGUGCCUUCCUGGGAAUGGGCAGUGGCGGGGGGUCAGGGAGAGGGAGGCUAGAGAAUAGAUAGGACCUCCUGGUAGUGGCAAGAACAGCCCCAGCUCCCGCCUUCCUGGAACCCUUCUGCUGAGGAGCCCCCGGGCUGAGGAGGAGGCCUCAUGGGGGCCAUUUCACAGACCAAGAGGCUGAGUCACUUGCCUAAGGUUGGGCCUCUGGUGAGUGACAGGCUGCAGCUGGACAGGAAAAGAACUCCUGCGGGGAGCCGCUAAUCCCAGAGUAAACAGAUGACCUCGUGGUGCCUUUCUCCCGGAGGCCUGACCUUCACCUGGAAGCAACUCCUCCCCCUCCUGGGUCUUCUGCGGACACUGCCCUGGCAGAGCUGGCUUUGCAUCCUGGCCGCCUCCCUUACUAGCUGUGUGACAGAGGCCAGCAAGUGCACCUUUCUGAGCCUCAGUUUCCUCACUUGGAAAGCAGACGUUCCUGGCAGCCCUGAGGGCUGUGCACACGGGCCAGGCUGAUGGAGUUAACUGCAAACACGCUCAGGAAGUGUAAACAGCCCUCCUCCGGGCCAGGACGACUGGCAGACUCACGGGCAGCUUGCACAAUCCUGUGUGCUGCUAUGACACUCAUUUUUGGGGCAUGGAGUCAUCUCUGCCAUGGGCCUCUCCCUCCUUGCCCUGGAUCGUCUUUGUAACACAGAUGGUACUGCGUGUCAGUAGUCAGUGGGAAGAAAUUCAGACCCCAGCCCCACCCCGAAGCUCAUUCUGAUUUAGAGCUGCCCAAGGACCCGAGGAGGCUGGAGCUGAAAGGGAGCCUGGGAAUUACCUAGCCCAACCUCUUCAUUUUCUAGAUGAAGGACCUGCGACCUAAAGAGGUGGGGACACUAAGGCCAUGUAAGUAUGUCAAAGCUUGGCACAAAGCUGGGUGUCCUGGGAUGGCAGCUGGUUUCAAAACCAGCCAAACAAGGCCUGUAAAUCUUGGCACAAUGGACUGUCCAGCCAUGUGAACUUGGAUCAGGGACUUCUUCCUGAGUCUCAGUCCCCUCAUCUGCAGGGCAUGGCAUGCAAGGGUGUUGUGCAGAACUCAGGGAGUGCUGAUAGUUAAAUGCCUAGCACAGUGCCAGGCUCAUACUAGGGGCUUCCUUCUCCUGCCUCCCUCUGCCCUUUCUUUGCAAACUU
This 1545-nucleotide long non-coding RNA is filed under the name Callithrix jacchus (white-tufted-ear marmoset). RNAcentral describes it as "lncRNA (ENSCJAG00000069206.2)". The record is from RNAcentral. Lineage: Eukaryota; Metazoa; Chordata; Mammalia; Primates; Cebidae.